Molecule: ribosomal RNA, 916 nt
Filed under: uncultured archaeon
Lineage: Archaea
Description: bacterial SSU rRNA
Rfam family: Archaeal small subunit ribosomal RNA
Source: RNAcentral
UCUGGUUGAUCCUGCCAGAGGUUACUGCUAUCGAGGUUCGACUAAGCCAUGCGAGUCGAAUGUAGCAAUACAUGGCGAACUGCUCAGUAACACGUGGACAACCUGCCCUUAGGACGGGGAUAAACCCGGGAAACUGGGUAUAAUACCCGAUAGGUCUCGAUUGCUGGAAUGCAUCGAGAUUUAAAGCUCCGGCGCCUAAGGAUGGGUCUGCGGCCUAUCAGGUAGUAGUGGGUGUAGCGUACCUACUAGCCUACGACGGGUACGGGUUGUGAGAGCAAGAGCCCGGAGAUGGAUUCUGAGACACGAAUCCAGGCCCUACGGGGUGCAGCAGGCGCGAAAACUUUACAAUGCUGGCAACAGCGAUAAGGGAACCUCGAGUGCCAGGUUACAAAUCUGGCUGUCGAGAUGCCUAAAAAGCAUUUCAUAGCAAGGGCCGGGCAAGACCGGUGCCAGCCGCCGCGGUAACACCGGCGGCUCGAGUGGUAACCGUUAUUAUUGGGUCUAAAGGGUCUGUAGCCGGCCGGAUAAGUCUCUUGAGAAAUCUGGCAGCUUAACUGUCAGGCUUUCAGGAGAUACUGUCUGGCUCGAGGCCGGGAGAGGUGAGAGGUACUUCAGGGGUAGGGGUGAAAUCUUGUAAUCCUUGAAGGACCACCAGUGGCGAAGGCGUCUCACCAGAACGGACCUGACGGCAAGGGACGAAAGCUAGGGGCACGAACCGGAUUAGAUACCCGGGUAGUCCUAGCCGUAAACGAUACUCGCUAGGUGUCGGCCACGGUGCGACCGUUGUCGGUGCCGUAGGGAAGCCGUGAAGCGAGCCACCUGGGAAGUACGGGCCGCAAGGCUGAAACUUAAAGGAAUUGGCGGGGGAGCACCACAACGGGUGGAGCUUGCGGUUUAAUUGGAUUCAACGCCGGAA